AUGAACGCUGGCGGCGUGCCUAAUACAUGCAAGUCGCGCGAACAGACGAGGAGCUUGCUCCUCUGACGUUAGCGGCGGACGGGUGAGUAACACGUGGAUAACCUACCUAUAAGACUGGGAUAACUUCGGGAAACCGGAGCUAAUACCGGAUAAUAUAUUGAACCGCAUGGUUCAAUAGUGAAAGACGGUUUUGCUGUCACUUAUAGAUGGAUCCGCGCCGCAUUAGCUAGUUGGUAAGGUAACGGCUUACCAAGGCAACGAUGCGUAGCCGACCUGAGAGGGUGAUCGGCCACACUGGAACUGAGACACGGUCCAGACUCCUACGGGAGGCAGCAGUAGGGAAUCUUCCGCAAUGGGCGAAAGCCUGACGGAGCAACGCCGCGUAAGUGAUGAAGGUCUUCGGAUCGUAAAACUCUGUUAUUAGGGAAGAACAAAUGUGUAAGUAACUAUGCACGUCUUGACGGUACCUAAUCAGAAAGCCACGGCUAACUACGUG
RNAcentral lists this ribosomal RNA (496 nucleotides) under uncultured bacterium. RNAcentral describes it as "partial 16S ribosomal RNA". It matches the Rfam family "Bacterial small subunit ribosomal RNA", at positions 29 to 507 of the family's 1533-position model. The record is from RNAcentral.